RNAcentral lists this ribosomal RNA (119 nucleotides) under Oryza sativa Indica Group (long-grained rice). The record is from RNAcentral. Lineage: Eukaryota; Viridiplantae; Streptophyta; Magnoliopsida; Poales; Poaceae.
GGAUGCGAUCAUACCAGCACUAAAGCACCGGAUCCCAUCAGAACUCCGAAGUUAAGCGUGCUUGGGCGAGAGUAGUACUAUGAUGGGUGACCUCCUGGGAAGUCCUCGUGUUGCAUCCC